This 421-nucleotide ribosomal RNA is filed under the name uncultured bacterium. RNAcentral's name for it is "bacterial SSU rRNA". It matches the Rfam family "Bacterial small subunit ribosomal RNA", at positions 356 to 773 of the family's 1533-position model. The record is from RNAcentral.
GGGGAAUAUUGCGCAAUGGGCGAAAGCCUGACGCAGCCACGCCGCGUGAGCGAUGAAGGCCUUCGGGUCGUAAAGCUCUGUGGGGAGAGAAGAAUAAAGCCUGUGAAGAGCAGGCCUUGACGGUAUCUCCUUAGCAAGCACCGGCUAACUCUGUGCCAGCAGCCGCGGUAAUACGGAGGGUGCAAACGUUGCUCGGAAUCAUUGGGCGUAAAGCGCACGUAGGCGGCGAAGCAAGUCGGGUGUGAAAGCCCUGGGCUCAACCCAGGAAGUGCAUUCGAAACUAUUUCGCUUGAAUCUCGGAGGGGGUCAGAGAAUUCCCGGUGUAGAGGUGAAAUUCGUAGAUAUCGGGAGGAAUACCAGUGGCGAAGGCGCUGACCUGGACGAAGAUUGACGCUGAGGUGCGAAAGCGCGGGGAGCAAAC